RNAcentral lists this ribosomal RNA (254 nucleotides) under uncultured bacterium. RNAcentral's name for it is "partial 16S ribosomal RNA". It matches the Rfam family "Bacterial small subunit ribosomal RNA", at positions 524 to 776 of the family's 1533-position model. The record is from RNAcentral.
UACGGGGGGAGCAAGCGUUGUUCGGAUUUACUGGGCGUAAAGGGCGCGUAGGCGGCCAGCGCAAGUCAGUUGUGAAAUCUCCGGGCUUAACUCGGAACGGUCAACUGAUACUGCGCGGCUAGAGUGCAGAAGGGGCAACUGGAAUUCUCGGUGUAGCGGUGAAAUGCGUAGAUAUCGAGAGGAACACCUGCGGCGAAGGCGGGUUGCUGGGCUGACACUGACGCUGAUGCGCGAAAGCGUGGGGAUCAAACAGG